UUAAAAUUUGAAUCAUACUAGUAGGAUAUACGGCUAUUAAGGGGUGUGAUAGGGGAAGAUAGCUUUAGGUGGUUACUUUCUAAGCCUAUAUAUAGAGCUUUAGGUAUUCAUUCUUCACUCAUCAAUUAAGCUAUCACAUAUAAAAGAUUACUCUCUCUUUCUCAUCUCUUGUUACUACUCCCUAUUUCAUCUUUUAUGCCAUAAUAUUCAUUGCUUAUUACCUCCCGCCACCAUCAAUACCAUCAUCCUUUAUCAUUUUCUCUAUCAUUUUUUUUUUACAAUUUCUUUUUCUAUCAUUUCACCAUCAUCUCAACACUAAUCCCAACCAAUUAUUUCAUCUCCAUCAUUCUUGUCAUACUCACAUAUCACCACCACCAACCUCUUACUUAUUCAUAUAUAGAUACUCCACUAUUAUUUACUUAUAUAUAUCAACAUCAUCACCACCAUAAUUCUAUCAUUUCACAUUCAAGUUUUAGUGCCUAACUAGAUUUCGGGAGUUAAGGUUUGUCAUAAGAAAAUUAUUGUUUCUCAAGGAUCACUCUUAUUGCAAUCAAGGCUAGGACUCCACAUUCGAGACCAAAGUAACUAAAAGUCUAGAAUGCCGGUGGCGAGUGGAACUUUGGACGCUUGUGUGUGUGAACUCGCUGAGGGCCAUAUAACUGCGGGCGGUCUAGGGCGCUCUGUUUAUUUAUUUAUGUUAUUAAACUUAUGUCGCAAUUAUUUUAGUUAUUAAUUAUUAUGUUUUUUUUACGAAAAC
Long non-coding RNA from Cannabis sativa, 757 nucleotides. RefSeq lists it as uncharacterized. The transcript is spliced from 3 exons. The record is from RefSeq and is a predicted model, not a curated record. Lineage: Eukaryota; Viridiplantae; Streptophyta; Magnoliopsida; Rosales; Cannabaceae.